This 49-nucleotide ribosomal RNA is filed under the name Alternaria sp. RNAcentral describes it as "partial 28S ribosomal RNA". Lineage: Eukaryota; Fungi; Ascomycota; Dothideomycetes; Pleosporales; Pleosporaceae. The record is from RNAcentral.
UUUUGACCUCGGAUCAGGUAGGGAACCCCGCUGAACUUAAGCAUAUCAA